CUGGGCGGCCUUCUGCUGGGGACCCCUGCUGCCCCCCUUCCUCUGCCCAUACUCGCCAGCUCUGCCUGCAGGCCAGCCCUCUAGGCUCGGAUCAUCAACAGCUGUCUCCCCAGAAUAUCCCUACAAGCUGCUCUCAACUAGAUACCUUUCCGGAAGGUCGCCCAAAGGUGGGCUCUAGGCAGGAAGGCACAGCCCACUGUGAGUCACCAGGGAUCCUUCUAUCACUUGGACAACAAGGAGAUCCAACCAGUCCAUCCUAAAGAAAAUCAGCCCUGAAUAUUCACUAGAAGGAUUGAUGCUGAAGCUGAAACUCCAAUACUUUUGCCACCCGAUGUGAAGAACUGACUCAUUGGAAAAGACCCUGAUGCUGGGAAAGACGGAAGGCAGGAGGAGAAGGGGACGACAGAGGAUGAGAUGAUUGGAUGGCAUCACCGCCUCGAUGGACAGGGCUUUGAGCAAACUCUGGGAGAUAGUGGAGGACAGGGAAGCCUGGCGUGCUGCAGUCCAUGGGGUCACAAAGAGUUGGACACGACUGAGUGACUGAACUGAACUGAACUGAGCUGUAUGACUGAAGAUUUAAGGGCCCUUUAUGUAAUAAUACCAUUUUCCAGAUGAGAGAAGAAAAAGGAAGCCUUAGAUAGUUGUACCGGCUUCCCCUGUGGCUCAGUGGUAAAGAACCCGCCUGCCAGUGCAGGAGACGCAGGGGAUGUGGGUUCGAUCCCUGGGUCAGGAAGAUGCCCUGGAGGAUGACAUGGCAACCCACCCCAGUAUUCUUGCCUGGAGAAUCCCAUGGACAGAGGAUCCUGGUGGGCUACAGUCCAUGGGGUCGCAGAGUCAGACACGACUUAGCCACUAAACAAGAGCAACAAACAGCUGUGCUUUGGCCCAAGAGCAGAAAUGCAAGAAAUCUGAAGACUCAGGGGUGAUUCUCGCUC
Budorcas taxicolor (takin) is the source of this 935-nucleotide long non-coding RNA. RefSeq lists it as uncharacterized. NCBI's taxonomy places the organism in Eukaryota, Metazoa, Chordata, Mammalia, Artiodactyla, Bovidae. The transcript has 3 exons. The record is from RefSeq and is a predicted model, not a curated record.